CAAAGUAUAGCUUAAAGAAGCGUUUCGCUUACACCGAAAAGAAUUUCUGUGCAAACCAGUCUACUUUGA
Molecule: transfer RNA, 69 nt
Filed under: Dardanus aspersus
Lineage: Eukaryota; Metazoa; Arthropoda; Malacostraca; Decapoda; Diogenidae
Description: tRNA-Val
Rfam family: tRNA
About the family: Transfer RNA (tRNA) molecules are approximately 80 nucleotides in length. Their secondary structure includes four short double-helical elements and three loops (D, anti-codon, and T loops).
Source: RNAcentral